GACGAACGCUGGCGGCGUGCCUAAUACAUGCAAGUAGGACGCAGUUGCGAACGGGUGAGUAAAGCGUAGGUAACUACCUAUUAGAGGGGGAUAACUAUUGGAAACGAUAGCUAAUACCGAAUACUCGUAGAUGGACCUGCGUUGUAUUAGCUUGUCGGUAGGGUAAUGGCCUACCUAGGCAACGAUACAUAGCCGACCUGAGAGGCGGAUCGGCCACAUUUGUCAUGAGACAAGGCCCAGACUCCGACGGGAGGCAGCAGUAGGGAAUCUUCGGCAAUGGGGGGAACCCUGACCGAGCAACGCCGCGGGAGUGAAGAAGGUUUUCGGAUCGUAAAGCUCUGUUGUUAAGGAAGCGGUACUUAACCAGAAAGGGACGGCUAACUACGUGCCAGCAGCCGCGGUAAUAC
Molecule: ribosomal RNA, 407 nt
Filed under: uncultured bacterium
Lineage: Bacteria
Description: partial 16S ribosomal RNA
Rfam family: Bacterial small subunit ribosomal RNA
Source: RNAcentral